This 178-nucleotide ribosomal RNA is filed under the name uncultured Acidobacteriota bacterium. RNAcentral describes it as "uncultured Acidobacteria bacterium partial 16S ribosomal RNA". The record is from RNAcentral. Lineage: Bacteria; Pseudomonadati; Acidobacteriota.
CCCUGGGGAUUUGCGCAUGGGCGAAGCCUGACCCACGCAACGCCGCGUGGAUGAUGAAGGCCUUCGGAUUGUAAACUCCUGUCGGGUGGGACGAAUGGGCCGGGGGUGAACACCCCGGGGGAUUGACGGUACCGGGAGAAGAAGGGGGGAAUUCUCCGGGGGGGGGGCGGGGAAUCAA